UUUCUUAUGGCUUACGGAGGAGGUACAAGGUGGAUUGGUAUUUCUGGUGUCUUUGAGGUUGGGGUGAAGUCAUGUAUUAUGGACCAGGUAAACGACAUGGUUUGCGAAGGGCUGAAGAGGGAAACCAUUCAGCCUGUUGAAAGUAGAGUGCAUAAAUAGGGUUGGAGCAAACGUCACUGGGUAGGAGGAGUAGAAAGUGGGGUUGAGCGGUAAAGAGGCGGCGAGAUUAAAAAGGAUCUCAAGUGCAGGGUAAGAUAGUUGGCUCCCUUUUGCUAACGAGUUAAAGUCCAUUGUGGGCUUUAAUCAUCUGAUCAGUGAUUAUAGUGUUUUUUUUAGGAAGAGCAGUCUGUAGAGUUUAGAAUGCAAAGAGACUAGCAAAUAGAAAAUCAUUAGCCUAUCAUGGUGAUUUAGACCAUGAUUAAAAAAAUGAUACAGGUAACCGCAAAGUAAAGGAAGGAUGGAUUCAAAGGUGAUUAUGAAGGUACUGGAUUUAUUAACUGAUCAGAGAUGGACGAUAUAAGUAAGAGUAGAUAAAAUUUCCAGGAACAAACUAAAGAAGGGCUCCGGAUGGUUCAUUUCAGGAGAGGUCUGCAUUUAAAGAUUGGCAGGAAAGGAGUUAAAGAAUGGCGAGCAGAGAGCUGACUUUUAGAUGGAUUUCUCUGCAUGUAUGUCAUGUAGUUUUGAAGCAGUGUUUUAUAUAUAGUCUUUGAAUUAAUUGGUUUGGCAGUUUUCUUUAUUUUUUAAAAAUAUUUUAUUUAUUCAUUUAUUUAUAGAGAGGGGAAGGGUGGGAAAAAGAGAGGGAAACAAACGUCAGUGUGUGGUUGCCUCUCAUGCACGCCCCCACUGGGGACCUGGCCUGUAACCCAGGCAUGUGCCCUAGACUGGGAACCUAACCCAAGAUCCUUCAGUUCUCAGGUCAGCACUCGAUCCACUGAGCCACACCAGCUAGGACCAGUUUUCUGAUAUAUGCUGUGUACCUUAAAACGAUUCUCAGACCUAAUUCUUAUGUGUAUGUGGCAGCUUCCCCACACCAACAGACAAACCUCAGACACCAGCAGCGUGUCUUGAGAAUUCAUCUCGAUUCUGACACAGUAUUACUUGGAGAUGAGUUCCAGAGGUUCAGGGUUCAGUCCCCCAAGACUGCCCUGCACUCACGCUGCCAGUCAGAUGCUAGGCUUAAGCCCAGGUUGUUACUGACCCGAUGACCAUCUGUAAGUCAGAAGUUCCCACAACCUCCUUGGAGUCUCUUAAUCUUUUAGCAUUGUUCACAGCACUCAGUCAGACCCAUUUAUUCACUACAUCACUGAUGUAUUACAAAGGAUAUUACAGGAUACAAGUCAACAGCCAGAUAAAAAGGCAUGUAGGGCGAGGUCCUGAAGGAAAGCACUUCUGUCCUGGAGCUUGGGGCGUGUGGAAGCAUUCUGGUUCCCCAUUGUGGU
Molecule: long non-coding RNA, 1439 nt
Organism: Phyllostomus discolor (pale spear-nosed bat)
Lineage: Eukaryota; Metazoa; Chordata; Mammalia; Chiroptera; Phyllostomidae
Exons: 2
Source: RefSeq, a predicted model, not a curated record